This 443-nucleotide ribosomal RNA is filed under the name uncultured bacterium. Its description in RNAcentral is "partial 16S ribosomal RNA". It matches the Rfam family "Bacterial small subunit ribosomal RNA", at positions 338 to 795 of the family's 1533-position model. The record is from RNAcentral.
CCUACGGGUGGCAGCAGUGGGGAAUAUUGGGCAAUGGGCGCAAGCCUGACGCAGCAACGCCGCGUGAAGGAAGAAGGCUUUCGGGUUGUAAACUUCUUUUCGCAGGGACGAAGAAAGUGACGGUACCUGAGGAAUAAGUUACGGCUAACUACGUGCGAGCAGCCGCGGUAAUCCGUAGGUGGCAAGCGUUAUCCGGAGUUGUUGGGUGCAAAGGGCGUGUAGGCGGGAGGGCAAGUCAGAUGUGAAAACUCAGGGCUCAACGCUGAGCCUGCAUUUGAAACUGUGAUUCUUGAGUGUUGGAGAGGCUAUCGGAAUUCCGGGUGUAGGGGUGAAAUGCGUAGAUAUACGGAGGAACAUCAGUGGCGAAGGCGAAUUGCUGGACAGUAACUGACGCUGAGGCGCGAAAGCGUGGGUAGCAAACAGGAUUAGAUACCCCAGUAGUC